RNAcentral lists this ribosomal RNA (496 nucleotides) under uncultured bacterium. RNAcentral describes it as "partial 16S ribosomal RNA". It matches the Rfam family "Bacterial small subunit ribosomal RNA", at positions 29 to 507 of the family's 1533-position model. The record is from RNAcentral.
AUGAACGCUGGCGGCGUGCCUAAUACAUGCAAGUCGAGCGAACAGACGAGGAGCUUGCUCCUCUGACGUUAGCGGCGGACGGGUGAGUAACACGUGGAUAACCUACCUAUAAGACUGGGAUAACUUCGGGAAACCGGAGCUAAUACCGGAUAAUAUAUUGAACCGCAUGGUUCAAUAGUGAAAGACGGUUUUGCUGUCACUUAUAGAUGGAUCCGCGCCGCAUUAGCUAGUUGGUAAGGUAACGGCUUACCAAGGCAACGAUGCGUAGCCGACCUGAGAGGGUGAUCGGCCACACUGGAACUGAGACACGGUCCAGACUCCUACGGGAGGCAGCAGUAGGGAAUCUUCCGCAAUGGGCGAAAGCCUGACGGAGCAACGCCGCGUGAGUGAUGAAGGUCUUCGGAUCGUAAAACUCUGUUAUUAGGGAAGAACAAAUGUGUAAGUAACUAUGCACGUCUUGACGGUACUUAAUCAGAAAGCCACGGCUAACUACGUG